CACAAUCCUCAAAGGCUGUGAGACCCUCCUGGACACCAGCCUGACUUUUGUGAGAAGGGGCACGGCACCCUGCCUCCCCCCAACCUCAAGGCCGACCCUGUCAUCUGCUGGGCCCAGAGCCAGCCUCCCUGUGUCCUGGCUCUCCCUGAGCUGCAUUGGGCCCAAGCUGGAAGUUGGCCAAAGAAUGAUCUCUCCUGGGGUGGGCACUGUCACCACAGUCCAGGAAUCUGCUCCAUUGCCCUGAGCCUAAGCAUUUCCUCCCCUCCUGAGGGGCAGGGCUGGAUGUGGAGACCAGACAAGGGGGCCCAGCAAGGUUCCAGGCAGUGAUGGACGUGGGCAGGAGACAGGCUGGUGGCCCAGAGCAGGCCUGGGAAGAUGCAGCAUCAGGGAGGGCUUCCCGAGGAGGCAUCACUGGAGUCGAGUCUUGAAGGUGAAAUUGACCUUUCCCUGAAGAGGUGGGAAUGACAAAAUAAGAUGAGAAGACCCGAUGGAGCUUCAAUUAAUUAAAAAAAAAAAACAAAGGUCAAAGACCAAGGGCAGAGGUCUUCCAGAGGUCAAGUCUAAUCUAUCUAUGGAUGUGGCAGGCUUAACUAUGGAUGUUCAAGCCAGACAUUGCCAGCAGAACCACAUCUCUUCACCCAUAGAACCACAUGCUUCUCAGACUGGUGGAUGCACAGCUCCACUUCUUUGCAGGGAGGACGACAACAGCAGAAUAUCCGUGGCCCGAAUUUCUGGAGCAUCAGUAUUACUACAAGACUUGGAAGAAGCAAAGUUAGGUCAUUUCCAAGAGCACUUUCCUACUUUCUGGCACUACAAGUUGUUCCAGGCUCAUCUUGUGUUUUCCAUCUCCAGCCCUAGAAUUAAACAUUUCUCCAAGAAAACCUGGUUCUUUUUAUUGGAGAACGAUAUUUAGAAACCAAGAUCUGGGAGCUAGGUGUGCUCAUUGAUACUAGGAUGUCACUGCUUCUAGACCCUCUCAGCAGAGUUUGGAAAUAUUGUUUUGGCUAUUCAGGGUCCCUUGAGAGUCCAUAUGCAUUUUAGGAUAGAUUUUUCUAUUUUUGCAAAAAACAUCAUUGGAACUUUUACCUCUUUGAGUCAACAGUGUUGCCCAGCACAAAGGAAUUUUCCACCUUCUCAAACUCAGUAGAGCAAAGAUGAAACUUCAUUCCCCCUGCAAGCCCUACUGCCCCAGAGAAAAGCAAAAACAAUGGAGACUGAGAUCUCAAAAUUAUCAAGAGGCUGAAGCUCCCCAACUCCCGCUUCCUGGAGCCGAAUCCACCAUUCAUCACAGGGACAGACAGAGGACACCUGCAUCUCCCCUAACUCAGCUAAACGCAGGCUGAUGGGAGGACGCCGAACUGCAAAGCUGCAGCUCCCCUCCCCCACCUAAAACCUUGUAAACUGUAAUCGUUAAUUGGCAGCAGUUGCCGUCCUCUCCCCAAGGCCAAAUUUCAGGUGAUGAGAGAAGAGUGGUGGUUGAUGGAGCCUUAAAUCUCCUGCUGUAGAUAGAGAUGACAGCCGGCUUGGCGCCAGAAGACUGGGAUCCCUCCUCCAACAAAUAAUCAGUCACCAAGGAUAUAUUCUUUCCCACAGACUUUCCUUUAAAAACCUCAACUCCUA
Diceros bicornis minor is the source of this 1620-nucleotide long non-coding RNA. RefSeq lists it as uncharacterized. The record is from RefSeq and is a predicted model, not a curated record. The transcript has 9 exons. Lineage: Eukaryota; Metazoa; Chordata; Mammalia; Perissodactyla; Rhinocerotidae.